UUUGUAAUUGAAAGGCUCUAGGCGAGGAGAGAACAUGUGGAGAGAAGUAGAGAUGAUUGAAAAAGAGUUUAUUGGGGUACACUCCCAGGGGCCACUCUGGUUGGGAUCAGAGAGAUCAUGCCUGGGCCUGGCUCAGGCAGGGUUUAUAUGGCAGGGGCAAAAGGUGGUUGGGGGGGCUGGGGAUAUGGCCUAGUGGCAAGAGUGCUUG
Molecule: long non-coding RNA, 208 nt
Organism: Perognathus longimembris pacificus (Pacific pocket mouse)
Lineage: Eukaryota; Metazoa; Chordata; Mammalia; Rodentia; Heteromyidae
Exons: 3
Source: RefSeq, a predicted model, not a curated record